This 30-nucleotide non-coding RNA is filed under the name Rattus norvegicus (Norway rat). Lineage: Eukaryota; Metazoa; Chordata; Mammalia; Rodentia; Muridae. The record is from RNAcentral.
UCCCUCGUCCUGGAGGACCUACAGCCUAAU